Molecule: ribosomal RNA, 492 nt
Filed under: uncultured bacterium
Lineage: Bacteria
Description: partial 16S ribosomal RNA
Rfam family: Bacterial small subunit ribosomal RNA
Source: RNAcentral
AGUGAACGCUGGCGGUAGGCCUAACACAUGCAAGUCGAACGGCAGCACAGUAAGAGCUUGCUCUUACGGGUGGCGAGUGGCGGACGGGUGAGGAAUACAUCGGAAUCUACUUUUUCGUGGGGGAUAACGUAGGGAAAGUUACGCUAAUACCGCAUACGACCUACGGGUGAAAGCAGGGGAUCUUCGGACCUUGCGCGACUGAGUGAGCCGAUGUCGGAUUAGCUAGUUGGCGGGGUAAAGGCCCACCAAGGCGACGAUCCGUAGCUGGUCUGAGAGGAUGAUCAGCCACACUGGAACUGAGACGCGGUCCAGACUCCUACGGGAGGCAGCAGUGGGGAAUAUUGGACAAUGGGCGGAAGCCUGAUCCAGCCAUACCGCGUGGGUGAAGAAGGCCUUCGUGGUGUAAAGCCCUUUUGUUGGGAAAGAAAAGCAGCAGGUUAAUACCCCGCUGUUCUGACGGUACCCAAAGAAUAAGCACCGGCUAACUUCGUG